Xyrauchen texanus (razorback sucker) is the source of this 2872-nucleotide long non-coding RNA. RefSeq lists it as uncharacterized. The record is from RefSeq and is a predicted model, not a curated record. Lineage: Eukaryota; Metazoa; Chordata; Actinopteri; Cypriniformes; Catostomidae. The transcript has 4 exons.
UAAUGGUUUUAGGAUAUGAACCCUUAAUGACAGCACAUUUCCAACACCACAUUUUCGACACAUUACCAGCCUGUGCAGUUGUUCGCAGACCAACAUUGCUGUCCAAUUAUUUACAUUUGUUUUUUCCAAGCUAGUCUAUUACUGUGGAAAUCAAUUAUUUAAGUAAAUUUGCCCUUAAAAGGCAUGUAAAUCCAAAAAAACUGUCAGUAAGACGGUGUCUUCUUGUAAAGAGUGCAACAUUCUAUGUCAAUAUUUUCAGCCAUCUUGGUUUCAGAAAUAUUUUUCCCUUUUAUUUUUUUCCAUAGGGAUUUCAUUAGUCGUCAUAGAAGCAUUCUAAGCCUUGAACCAAACCAACCAGCUCCAAGGUGAAUCCCAAGAUUGCAGUUUUUGUUUUGAAGCAAAAAUGUUUUUUGAAAAUCUGAAAAAAAUAUAAAAGUACUGAAAAAAAUAUAAAAGUACAAGACAGUGUACUUAACAUCUUUAAUAAGGGAAUGAAGUACAGUCCAAUGAAGCAUUACGAAUGGCGUUAUAAUGACGGAAAUAUAUAAAACUAUUAAUUUCAAUUGUCGAUUAUAAGUUAGAAACAGUAUUAUUGAAGUUUAUUACAAGAUAUUCAGAUAUGUACAAAUAUAUAAGUAGUUUGAAUGUGUAUGGAGACAGAAUCGGUUGCGUCACUAGCUGGGUUUCCAUCAAAAUAUUUUGCAUUUUUAAGUGCAUUUCUAAAUAUUCAAAGUCAUGCGCAUAAUCUUGAUGGAGCCACCUUGUCAUGAUAGAGCAGCUGAAUGUCCUCCUUGCUUCAAGGAGAGUUUUAUUUGCAGGAUUGGAGCAAUUGUACCCAGUUUUAUUAAAUGCAGAAUAAGUGUAAAAUCUAAUAUAGUGAGGGCUGAAAUGGCUGCAAUGCCCAUACUCCGCCAGCCUCUGUAUACCUGGAAGCGCCAAAGCUCAAAACUGUUCUGGGCUGCAUUUCCCAAAAGCAUUGUAAGCCUAAGUAGAUUGUAGAAAACAAUGGUGUUAAUGGUGGAUUAUGAGGACCCACUUUAACAACCAGCUGUGGGUUAACAUUAGGGGCGGCUGUGGCUCAGGUGGUAGAGCGGGUCUGAUUCCUUGUCUUGCAUGGCAGCUCUGCCGUCAUUGGUGUGUGAGUGUGAGUGUGUGUGUGUGUGCAUGUGUGUGUGUGUGUGAAUGGGUGAAUGAGUCACAGUGUAAAGUGCUUUGAAAACCCCUAAGGUUAAAAAAUCGCUAUAUAAGUGCAGACCAUUUACCAUUACUUCCAAAUGUCAAGGGCCAUGUUCGAAGAAUUGUGUGCCAAGGUCUGUCAUUUCAAUGAGCCAGUCACAUUAAACUAUUGCACAUAACACAUGCAGGAAUGGUCAAAACACAUCAUCUUUUUGCGAAUAAACUGUUUCCAUCAACUUAAUCACCACAGUUUAACCAAUGCAAAAUGCAAUGCAAUUUCUACUGCGCAUAACAAUAGUUGGAUGGAAACCCAGCUAUUCACAGUGCAUCAUGGGAGUAGGCGGUCACAGCAGAGCUCAUUUGCAGUGGUUGGUUUACCAUGACUUUAAAUUGUGGAUCUUUCUCUUCGGGAUUCAACAGAAGCAUAUACCAUCGAUUUGCCUCAGAACUUAAGAUGAUUUCAGUCCAAGGUGUGCUAUUGUGACGCUCCUGUUCUACCCGCUCCGGGACUCGAACCGGCAUCCGCGGCAUGGGAGGCGGAUGCGCUAACAAGGAGGCUAAAGGCUACAGCCUCUAGCAUCAGUCGCUAGUGCACCUCUUGAGGGUCACGGCACCAUUGUGACGCUCCUGUUCUACCCGCUCUGUACAGGACUCAAACCGGCGUCUCUGGCAUGGGAGGAGGGUGCGCUAACAAGGAGGCUAAAGGCUACAGCCUCUAGCGUCAGUUGCUAGUGCACCACUUGAGUGUGCUAACACGGCAACCUCCACCACCCCACCACCACCAGUUGAGUCCCGUCCUGCACGGGGGUAGGCUCAUCGCCCAUGCCUCCUAUCUCCGGCAGGAUAUGACGAUUCCGAGUACAACUUCUUCGGACCGCCAGACGAGGCUUACGCCAAAGAGAGACAUUCAUUUUCUGUUUUAUAUUCAUCAAAUAAAUGUCAUCUUAAAUUUUUACUGAAGUCUGCAAGUCUUCCUGAUAGAAAUGAAUGUUUUGGGUUCAAUAUCUCUCAUUUUUAAAAUACAACAAUGUAGCCACAAGGCACAAACAUUAAAAAUGUUGUAAAAUGCUAAAUCACGCUAACAUGUAUAAUGCAGGUAUGCACUGAUAUGAAUAUAUUUGGCUGAUACAGAUUUUAACAAAAAACUGAUAUUUAUCCACUAAUCUUGUUUUGUCAUCAGAUCACUGUUUUACUCAGGAAUGCUUAAAAAAUACAUCUUAUUUUCGAUAACUCAUAACUUAAUGUUUCAAAGUGUUUUGGAUGUUUUCCCUCAUCAUGUAGCCUGUAGGUAAGUGCCGCUUUCACAACUGUCAUGUCCGUUUAUGGUGGUUUUUCCACAUUAAUGUGAGAACGAGACAGCAUAAAAAUGUUAUAUUAUAUGUUAUUAAGAGUGCCAACCCUUCUACAUACUAUGGCUAUUAUUAUUUCUGGAUUGUGCAUUGAGUUUUACAAAGUGUGUUACUAAUUAAUUAUAAAUAAACCAUUGGUUUUCUUUGGUCAAUAAUUGGUCGAUAAAUAUUGCCAGCCGAUACACCGGUGCAUCCCAAGUAUAAUGUUUGUGUUUUGUGGCUAUACUUUUGAAACAGUGCUUAAUUUCGCACAAUUGAGACACAAAAAUAUUACAGAUAAUACAGUCUCUUUUUCUAUUAAAGCAUCAUUUUCUGUAAAGCUGCUUUGAAAUGGUAUGUGUUGUGAA